UUUAGCUCAUUGGCCCUUAGAAACCGGCAAGGCACAUGCAGUGACCAUAGCUACAAAGCCCCUGUGGCAGACGCUGUUGGCUGCCUUCCCAUGGUCAUGCCUCUUCUCCGUUGUCUUCCUUGCUGGCAGGACUGCCUCCCACAGCAGAGGCAGAAAAUGCCAAGUACUUGCAUUCUCCGCCUUUCUCGGGACCUCAGUUCUGGCCUGUGUUGUAAGGGGAAGUCUGCUGGGAAUUUGUGGGAAAGAAGAGAAGAAAAAACAGUUUCUCCCCACCUCCCACCCCCAGCCUUUCUGUUGUUUAUGUGGUUGUGUGAAAAUGUGAUGCCUGGAGCCCAGGAGACCGUCUUGUGACGAUGAGGAUAAAGAUCAAGAAACUGCAAAGAGGUCCCUGGGAGUUUACUGGCAGCAGAACCAGCCCUGGCUUCAGAGUGUGGCAGGAAGUGGGGGGAGGGGAGGGUUGGAAAAACUCUGUGAACCUUCUGAUGUCAGAGAGCAAGAAGUGUGUCCAAAAAGGUUGUCAAAGUGGAGAAGGCCUGAGAUGAGGAUCUUGAACCAUGUAAGAAAGAACAAAGAACAAGGUGUAAGCUGA
This is a non-coding RNA of Vicugna pacos (alpaca), 589 nucleotides long. The record is from RefSeq and is a predicted model, not a curated record. NCBI's taxonomy places the organism in Eukaryota, Metazoa, Chordata, Mammalia, Artiodactyla, Camelidae.